GAUGAACGCUAGCGGCAGGCCUAAUACAUGCAAGUCGGACGGGAUCCAUUGAUAGCUUGCUCUCAAUGGUGAGAGUGGCGCACGGGUGCGUAACGCGUGAGCAACCUGCCUCCAUCAGGGGGAUAGCCUCUCGAAAGAGAGAUUAACACCGCAUAAUAUCCACAGUUCGCAUGUUCAGUUGAUUAAAUCUUUAUAGGAUGGAGAUGGGCUCGCGUGACAUUAGCUAGUUGGUAGGGUAACGGCUUACCAAGGCGACGAUGUCUAGGGGCUCUGAGAGGAGAAUCCCCCACACUGGUACUGAGACACGGACCAGACUCCUACGGGAGGCAGCAGUAAGGAAGAUUGGUCAAUGGGCGGAAGCCUGAACCAGCCAUGCCGCGUGCAGGAGGACUGCCCUAUGGGUUGUAAACUGCUUUUGUCCAGGAAUAAACCUAAAUACGAGUAUUUAGCUGAAUGUACUGGAAGAAUAAGGAUCGGCUAACUCCGUG
This 488-nucleotide ribosomal RNA is filed under the name uncultured bacterium. RNAcentral's name for it is "partial 16S ribosomal RNA". It matches the Rfam family "Bacterial small subunit ribosomal RNA", at positions 28 to 507 of the family's 1533-position model. The record is from RNAcentral.